RNAcentral lists this ribosomal RNA (397 nucleotides) under uncultured bacterium. RNAcentral describes it as "partial 16S ribosomal RNA". It matches the Rfam family "Bacterial small subunit ribosomal RNA", at positions 523 to 918 of the family's 1533-position model. The record is from RNAcentral.
AUACGUAGGGGGCGAGCGUUGUCCGGAAUGAUUGGGCGUAAAGGGCGCGUAGGCGGCCCGGUAAGUCUGGAGUGAAAGUCCUGCUUUUAAGGUGGGAAUUGCUUUGGAUACUGUCGGGCUUGAGUGCAGGAGAGGUAAGUGGAAUUCCCAGUGUAGCGGUGAAAUGCGUAGAGAUUGGGAGGAACACCAGUGGCGAAGGCGACUUACUGGACUGUAACUGACGCUGAGGCGCGAAAGUGUGGGGAGCAAACAGGAUUAGAUACCCUGGUAGUCCACGCCGUAAACGAUGAAUGCUAGGUGUAGGGGGUAUCGACCCCUUCUGUGCCGCAGUUAACACAAUAAGCAUUCCGCCUGGGGAGUACGGCCGCAAGGUUGAAACUCAAAUGAAUUGACGGGG